CUCUCAAAUGAUGUCUUGAACUAAAAAUCUCAGUCUGGAGCGAAAGCCGGAUUUUGGUAACUGAGGUAUGUACUGUACAUACUACAGAGUAUGGAGUACUAACCCGUGGCUGUGAGCAAUGAAAUAAUUCCAAUCUAAAGCAAACACCUCUUCUCCUGACCUCUCUACAUGCAGUCAAUUAGAUGAGAUGAUAGAAAUAUGAUUUUCGCAGUGCAGUUUUCAAUGAUGUAGUUUUCUAAAUAUCUGUGGAUCUCUUGGGUUGGGCUGUUAUAAUUGAACAGAAAGUUGUUUCUUUUUUGGGAUGGGUACAGUUCACUAAAUACUAGAUUGGGUAUUUUUAUGAGGCAUACUGUCCAUGUACUGUACCUCAGUAAAGUAUGUAUAAACCUUUGAUAUUAUAUUCCUCUCUCCUUUUACCUCCCGUUACAAGAAAUCUAAAGGAAAGAAGAGAAAGAAAGGUUCACGUAUGUAAGUAACAUGAGUUUGUUUAGUUGUUGGGCUUCAUUGUCUCCUUUGUUUCAGUGAUUCCUUGCAUACUAUUCUUUGGUUACGAAAUGAUUCAGUGCUAUAAUGAU
RNAcentral lists this small RNA (575 nucleotides) under Histoplasma ohiense. RNAcentral describes it as "hypothetical lncRNA". The record is from RNAcentral. Lineage: Eukaryota; Fungi; Ascomycota; Eurotiomycetes; Onygenales; Ajellomycetaceae.